RNAcentral lists this ribosomal RNA (326 nucleotides) under uncultured eukaryote. RNAcentral's name for it is "partial 18S ribosomal RNA". It matches the Rfam family "Eukaryotic small subunit ribosomal RNA", at positions 1470 to 1796 of the family's 1831-position model. The record is from RNAcentral.
CCCUUAGAUGUUCUGGGCCACACGCGCGCUACACUGAUGCAUUCAACGAGCCUAGCCUUGACCGAGAGGUCCGGGUAAUCUUUGAAACUGCAUCGUGAUGGGGCUAGAUUAUUGCAAUUAUUAAUCUUCAACGAGGAAUGCCUAGUAAGCGUGAUUCAUCAAAUCGCGUUGAUUACGUCCCUUCCCUUUGUACACACCGCCCGUCGCUCCUACCGAUUGAGUGUGUUGGUGAGGAGUUUGGAUUGGCCUCGGAAGGUGGUUCGCCACCGUCCGUAGCUGAGAAGUUCUCCAAACCGCCCCACUUAGAGGAAGGAGAAGUCGUAACA